UGGGGGAAUAUUGCACAAUGGGCGAAAGCCUGAUGCAGCGACGCCGCGUGAGCGAAGAAGUAUUUCGGUAUGUAAAGUUCUAUCAGCAGGGAAGAAGAAAUGACGGUACCUGACUAAGAAGCUCCGGCUAAAUACGUGCCAGCAGCCGCGGUAAUACGUAUGGAGCAAGCGUUAUCCGGAUUUACUGGGUGUAAAGGGAGCGUAGGCGGUCUUAUAAGUCUGAUGUGAAAGCCCGGGGCUCAACCCCGGGACUGCAUUGGAAACUGUAGGACUAGAGUGUCGGAGGGGUAAGUGGAAUUCCUAGUGUAGUGGUGAAAUGCGUAGA
This 325-nucleotide ribosomal RNA is filed under the name uncultured Lachnospiraceae bacterium. RNAcentral describes it as "bacterial SSU rRNA". It matches the Rfam family "Bacterial small subunit ribosomal RNA", at positions 354 to 694 of the family's 1533-position model. Lineage: Bacteria; Bacillati; Bacillota; Clostridia; Lachnospirales; Lachnospiraceae. The record is from RNAcentral.